This 347-nucleotide ribosomal RNA is filed under the name Grandisonia larvata. RNAcentral describes it as "partial 12S ribosomal RNA". It matches the Rfam family "Bacterial small subunit ribosomal RNA", at positions 869 to 1384 of the family's 1533-position model. Lineage: Eukaryota; Metazoa; Chordata; Amphibia; Gymnophiona; Indotyphlidae. The record is from RNAcentral.
CCGCCAGAGUAUUACGAGCAAUAGCUUAAAACUCAAAGGACUUGGCGGUGCUCAAAUCCAUCCAGAGGAGCCUGUUCUAUAAUCGAUAAUCCACGCUUAACCUCACCACCAUUUGAUAAUCCAGCCUAUAUACCACCGUCACCAGCAUGCCUUGUGAAAGAACCACAGCAAGCAAAAACGAAAUCUCCAAAUACGCCAGGUCAAGGUGUAGCAUAUAUGGUGGGAAGAAAUGGGCUACAUUUUCUUCUAAAGACCAUACGAAUGACAAAAUGAAAUUAUAUCUGAAGGCGGAUUUGGCAGUAAGGCUGGGUAAUUAUACCACCCUUAAUCUUGGCCCUGAGGCGCGC